CCUGGGGGUAACCCGAAGGUCGCCACUAAGCGCCCACGGUAAACCAGUGAUUGGGACU
RNAcentral lists this ribosomal RNA (58 nucleotides) under uncultured bacterium. RNAcentral's name for it is "partial 16S ribosomal RNA". The record is from RNAcentral.